AUACGUAGGGGGCGAGCGUUGUCCGGAAUUACUGGGCGUAAAGGGCGUGUAGGCGGCUGGGUAUGUCAGGUGUGAAAAGCCAGAGCUUAACUGUGGCAUUGCACAUGAAACUGCUCAGCUUGAGUGCAGGAGAGGGAAGUGGAAUUCCUAGUGUAGCGGUGAAAUGCGUAGAUAUUAGGAGGAACACCAGUGGCGAAGGCGACUUCCUGGACUGUAACUGACGCUGAGGCGCGAAAGCGUGGGUAGCGAACAGGAUUAGAUACCCUGGUAGUCCACGCUGUAAACGAUGGGUACUAGGUGUGGGUAGUUCACUCUAUCCGUGCCGCAGCAAACGCAAUAAGUACCCCGCCUGGGGAGUACGGCCGCAAGGUUGAA
This 375-nucleotide ribosomal RNA is filed under the name uncultured bacterium. RNAcentral's name for it is "bacterial SSU rRNA". It matches the Rfam family "Bacterial small subunit ribosomal RNA", at positions 523 to 898 of the family's 1533-position model. The record is from RNAcentral.